This 252-nucleotide ribosomal RNA is filed under the name uncultured bacterium. RNAcentral describes it as "partial 16S ribosomal RNA". It matches the Rfam family "Bacterial small subunit ribosomal RNA", at positions 525 to 776 of the family's 1533-position model. The record is from RNAcentral.
UAGGAGGGGGCUAGCGUUGUUCGGAAUUACUGGGCGUAAAGCGCGCGUAGGCGGACCUGCAAGUCGGGGGUGAAAGCCCGAGGCUCAACCUCGGAACUGCCUUCGAUACUGCGGGUCUCGAGUCCGGGAGAGGUGAGUGGAAUUCCUAGUGUAGAGGUGAAAUUCGUAGAUAUUAGGAAGAACACCAGUGGCGAAGGCGGCUCACUGGCCCGGUACUGACGCUGAGGCGCGAAAGCGUGGGGAGCAAACAGG